Molecule: long non-coding RNA, 4602 nt
Organism: Bombina bombina (fire-bellied toad)
Lineage: Eukaryota; Metazoa; Chordata; Amphibia; Anura; Bombinatoridae
Exons: 10
Source: RefSeq, a predicted model, not a curated record
UGGUAACAAUGGCUUAUUUCCAUAUGUUGUUUCAUCUGAGCCACCGGAGAAGAGAGCUACAAGUAACCUACACUGAUUUAAGAGAAAACAAACAAUAUUUGAGUGCCCGAAGAAGUUUGGUGCAAAGUAUCAGUAUACGAAUUUUAUAUGAGCGCCGACAUAAUUCCGCGACCAGACUCAAGAACAUUUAUUUUUUGUGCAGCAUCUCGGUGCGUACAAGAAGUGCCUUUUUUCUAAGUGGUAGACUGCUGAUCUGUCUGUCUUACAGAAAAUGAUAAAUCAGUUUGCAAAUGUUAUAUGAGUGCCAACAAAACUCAGUGUAAGAAUACACACCGGGCUCCCUUUUACUUACCUUGUUCCUCAGACUAAAGCAUACUUACCUGGUUCCUGGGUAUGCUCAUCCUUGCUCCAGAGACCAAGCAUACUUACCUGAUACCUGUGUAUGCUCUCCUUGCUCCUGAAACCAAAGCAUUCUUACCUGAUACCUGUGUAUGCUCUCCUUGCUCCUGAAACCAAAGCAUUCUUACCUGAUACUUAUGUCUGCUCACCUUGUUCCUGAGACCAAGCAUACUUACCAUGCACCCAUGUAUGCUCAUCUGGUUCCUGAAAGUAUCCCGUGAUAAAAAGUUUACGUAGGAGACGAGCAGGCAAACAGCGCUACAUUUAAAUACAGUCUUUUUCAUUUUUUUUUGCAUAUUUAUAAACUCUUGAAUGACUAUUUGUAACUCUGUUCCUUUUUUACAGCAAUUUCAUAUAUAUAUAUUAAUACAUGAUACAUGAAAGAAAACAAGUUUGGGAGGUUAAUUAAUUUAGCUGUAAAUGAAUUGCACUGUACUUCUAAUUCUAAUUAAAAGUUAUAUUUAUUUAUGUAGAUAAAUAAAUUACAUCUUCUGAUCAUUUUUUAUGUACAGUUUAAAAGCAAAUUAAAAAAAAAAAAGAAAAAAAAAUAAGAAAUUCUGCGUAAAGAUCACAGGAAUGCUGUAUUUCAAUAGUGACGUAAGUAGCAGAAAAGAAAACCUAUCAAAACCUGCCACAUUUUUUAGCCAACUCCCAUUAGAGGGCGGGCCUAUAAAUAUAUAAAUUCAGUAUCAUUUUGGAUCCUGGCUUUUUCUUUUGCAGGGUUCAGUGGUAACAACGGCUUAUUUCCAUAUGUUGUUUCAUCUGAGCCACCGGAGAAGAGAGCUACAAGUAACCUACACUGAUUUAAGAGAAAACAAACAAUAUUUGAGUGCCCGAAGAAGUUUGGUGCAAAGUAUCAGUAUACGAAUUUUAUAUGAGCGCCGACAUAACUCCGUGACCAGACUCAAGAACAUUUAUUUUUUGUGCAGCAUCUCGGUGCGGACAAGAAGUGCCUUUUUUCUAAGUGGUAGACUGCUGAUCUGUCUGUCUUACAGAAAAUGAUAAAUCAGUUUGCAGUUAUUUACCUUGUUCCUCAGACUAAAGCAUACUUACCUGGUUUCUGUGUAUGCUCACCUUGCGCCUGAGUCCAAGCAUACUUACCUUGAUACAUGUGUAUGCUAAUCCUUGCUCCGGAGACCAAGCAUACUUACCUUGAUACAUGUGUAUGCUAAUCCUUGCUCCGGAGACCAAGCAUACUUACCUUGAUACAUGUGUUUGCUAAUCCUUGCUCCGGAGACCAAGCAUACUUACCUUGAUACCCGUGUAUGCUCACCUGGUUCCUGAAAGUCAAGCAUACUAAUCUGAUACCGGUGUAUGCUCACCUUGCUCCUGAAACCAAAGCAUACUUACCUGAUACCUGUGUAUGCUCUCCUUGUUCCUGAAACCAAGCAUACUUACCUUGCACCCACGUAUGCUCACCUUGCUCCUGAAACCAAAUCAUACUUACCGGAUACCUAUGUAUGCUCACCUUGUUCCUGAGACCCAGCAUACUUACCAUGCACCCACGUAUGCUCACCUGGUUCCUGAAAGUAUCCCGUGAUGAAAAGUUGACGAGACAAGUACGAGACAAGCAGGCAAACGGGGCUACAUUUUAAUAGCAAACUACUAAAAGAAAUACGGUGUAAAGAUCACAGGAAUGUCGCAUUUCAGGAGUGUUCAAACUACUAAAAGAAAUACGGUGUAAAGAUCACAGGAAUGUUCAAACUACUAAAAAAGAAUUCUACAUAAAGACCUCAGGAAUACAGUAUCCCAAGAGCUUUCAAAAGAAAAAAAAAGAAGAAAUUCUGCGUAAAGAUCACAGGAAUGCAGUAUUUCAAUAGUGACGGUUCAGAGGUAACAACGGCUUAUUUUCGUAUGAUGUUUCAUCUGGGCCACCGGAGAAGAGAACUACAAGUAACCUACACUGAUUUAAGAGAAAACAAACAAUAUUUGAGUGCCCGAAGAAGUUUGGUGCAAAGUAUCAGUAUACGAAUUUUAUAUGAGCGCCGACAUAACUCCGUGACAAGACUCAAGAUCAUUUAUUUUUUGUGCAGCAUCUCGGUGCAGACAAGAAGUGCCUUUUUUCUAAGUGGUAGACUGCUGAUCUGUCUGUCUUACAGAAAAUGAUAAAUCAGUUUGCAGUUAUUUACCUUGUUCCUCAGAAUAAAGCAUACUUACCUGGUUCCUGUGUAUGCUCACCUUGCGCCUGAGUCCAAGCAUACUAACCUUGAUACAUGUGUAUGCUAAUCCUUGCUCCGGAGACCAAGCAUACUUACCUUGAUACCCGUGUAUGCUCACCUGGUUCCUGAAAGUCAAGCAUAAUAAUCUGAUACCGAUGUAUGCUCACCUUGCUCCUGAAACCAAAGCAUACUUACCUGAUACCUGUGUAUGCUUUCCUUGUUCCUAAAACCAAGCAUACUUACCUUGCACCCACAUAUAUUCACCUUGCUCCUGAGAAGCAUACUUACCUGAUACCUGUGUAUGCUCUCCUUGUUCCUGAAACCAAGCAUACUUACCUUGCACCCACGUAUGCUCACCUUGCUCCUGAAACCAAAUCAUACUUACCUGAUACUUAUGUAUGCUCACCUUGUUCCUGAGACCCAGCAUACUUACCAUGCACCCACGGUUCCUGAAAGUAUCCCGUGAUGAAAAGUUGACGUACGAGACGAGCAAUUUCAAUAAUUGAGUUUAAUAGCAAAUUACUAAAAGAAAUACGGUGUAAAGAUCACAGGAAUGUCGCAUUUCAAGAGUGUUCAAACUACUAAAAAAGAAUUCUACAUAAAGACCUCAGGAAUACAGUAUCCCAAGAGCUUUUUGGUAAGAAUGAAUUCUAUCGUAUAAUGUUUAAUCUGAGCCAUUGUAGAAGAGAUCAGCAAUAACCAUACACCUAUACAAGAAAUAACGAGUGGCAUUUGAGUGGCCAAAGAUGACUGAUGCCAAAUACAGGCACAAAACCCUUUAUCUCCAAAAUGCUUGGUACCAGAAAAGUGCUUUCAAUUUCACCUCCGAAUAUGGGCGUUAUUGAGUACAGCUAUAAAACAGCACGUAUGACGUGCAGGAAACAUGCCCUGAGGAAGCCCGGUCUCCUUGAUGACGUGGGGGUGAAACACGUGUUGGCGAUUUGAAAGCCGACUCACGUGACAUCCAUGCUGGCUGGUGGAGCUUGUUGCUGAAUUGAGCAGCGUUACAGAGAAGCGGAGCAGAAAAAUACUCAAUGCAAUACAGUGUUUCAAUGGAAAUUCUGUCGGGAUAAAGCAGGAAAUUCCCGGAGGACAACGGAUGACCAUUCACUCUUUUAAGUAAAGGAGCGGAUAGAGAGAUGUCUAAAAGAUGACUGGAUGAUUCAACAAGCUUGCAGGCAAACUGAGGCCACAGUUAAAAGGUGCAGUUGACAGAGGGGUACUAUAACAACAAGCAAGUAUCCUCCUGUACCUCUUUCUAUCUAAAUCUGGCAUGUGUGUUUAUUAUGUUGCCUGCUACUAUACGUUGCUCUAACCUGACUGCUCUCUAUACGUAUGCUCCAGCUUUCGCUUGAGUGACUUAACAUAUUAACAGCUGUUUUCCCUGCUACUUGCUUACAACUGCAUACCGCUUGUAAUUGCUAAUAAGACAACGCUUUGCUCAAUGCCUCGACAUUAGACACUUAACCUGUUGGUGUCAUACUUCUCCAUGGGACUCUAUACCGCUCAAAAUGGUAUCAGUCUGGAGGACUGAAAAUAAAUUUAUGUCCCUUUAAGGAGUAAAAGAUCACUGUAUAUCAAUGUCUGCUUGAUAUGUAAACGCAUGUGAAUGUCUAUAACUGUGCUUUUCUAUCUUGUCAUGCCUUAUGUUACCUAUGCAUAACAUCUAGUCAUUUUGGGUGACAAGUACUGGAUUUUGGAAUGAAAGUUGUUCACUUUAAGGAAAUCUCAGUUUUCACUAAAACCUUAAUUAGGUCUGAUGUAUACCUGUGAACAUCCCUUCCACUUACAGCACAUUGUUGGAUAUAGGCUACCUGCUUUACCUGUGAAUUAACAUUUCUAUGCUCCAUUUCUCCAUCUAGCAUAGGUUGUCACAUGGGCCGGCCCACUUUUGGAGUGCAAUAUUUGUUACUUUAGACUUAAGGUUUAGUCACUUGUUAUAGUAUUUUGGUUAUGAUAUGUAUAACUUAUGACUUUGCCCAUGUGGAUCUGGCUUUGAACGGACCCGCGAGCUGCACAAUAAAACCACUUUUUUGAUAGUAAA